Molecule: ribosomal RNA, 253 nt
Filed under: uncultured Gemmata sp.
Lineage: Bacteria; Pseudomonadati; Planctomycetota; Planctomycetia; Gemmatales; Gemmataceae
Description: partial 16S ribosomal RNA
Rfam family: Bacterial small subunit ribosomal RNA
Source: RNAcentral
GACGAACCGAGCGAACGUUGUUCGGAAUCACUGGGCUUAAAGGGCGCGUAGGCGGACCGUCAAGUCCGGGGUGAAAUCUUUCGGCUCAACCGGAAAAGUGCCUCGGAUACUGGCGGUCUCGAGCGAGGUAGGGGCAGGCGGAACUUCCGGUGGAGCGGUGAAAUGCGUUGAUAUCGGAAGGAACUCCGGUGGCGAAGGCGGCCUGCUGGACCUCUCCUGACGCUGAGGCGCGAAAGCUAGGGGAGCAAACGGG